GUGGGGAAUUUUGGACAAUGGGGGCAACCCUGAUCCAGCCAUGCCGCGUGCGGGAAGAAGGCCUUCGGGUUGUAAACCGCUUUUGUCAGGGAAGAAAUCCUUUGGGUUAAUACCUCGGAGGGAUGACGGUACCUGAAGAAUAAGCACCGGCUAACUACGUGCCAGCAGCCGCGGUAAUACGUAGGGUGCGAGCGUUAAUCGGAAUUACUGGGCGUAAAGCGUGCGCAGGCGGUUUUGUAAGAUCGAUGUGAAAUCCCCGGGCACAACCUGGGAACUGCAUUGGUGACUGCAAGGCUGGAGUGCGGCAGAGGGGGAUGGAAUUCCGCGUGUAGCAGUGAAAUGCGUAGAGAUGCGGAGGAACACCAAUGGCGAAGGCAAUCCCCUGGGCCUGUACUGACGCUCAUGCACGAAAGCGUGGGGAGCAAACAGGAUUAGAAACCCGGGUAGUCC
Molecule: ribosomal RNA, 450 nt
Filed under: uncultured bacterium
Lineage: Bacteria
Description: partial 16S ribosomal RNA
Rfam family: Bacterial small subunit ribosomal RNA
Source: RNAcentral